UUGGAAAUGAGUUUUCAGAAUAAGUGUGA
This 29-nucleotide non-coding RNA is filed under the name Rattus norvegicus (Norway rat). Lineage: Eukaryota; Metazoa; Chordata; Mammalia; Rodentia; Muridae. The record is from RNAcentral.